GUCCUUCCAACUUGUGAGAGUUUGAGAUCACCAGUUGUGAGAAAUUGGAGGCCUUACCCAAAGGCAUGCACAACAGCACAACCUCAACUCUCUUGAGAUAUUAAGGAUCCCCAUUUUCAGACAUGUUUUCAGAGCUUGGUGCACUUCAUUGCCGUUGUAGCUGCAGAAAUCAAUAUUAAUCAGGGUCAGGAUUCAGGAGACUCAGCAGUCGAUCAGGAUUCAGACUCCCAAAUGACAAAAAACAGAAGAUAUGUAGGGCAAACCCUUGGAGGAGUAAAGCAGCAUGUAUGUAAGAGAAAUUGUCUUUCUAAUGGAGCCUUCUGAUGGCGAAACUGCCGUGGAAUAUAUUGAGUUGCUCUUCAAGAUGUCAAUUCAGAAAAUGCUGGCAUCUCCUUGAUUGUGCAGGAAUUUCUGUGUACAACUUGAAAGCUAUUUACUAGAGAAGUGGGCAAUGUUGAGUCUUUAAGCAGCCUGCAUACUAGCGUUUGACAUGGAUUCUACCUUCACAUGCUUAUAGAGCUAUGAUGGAAUUUUUGGGGAAGUACCAAAAAUGCUGGUCCAACCGUUAUCGGUCAUAAGCUG
Molecule: long non-coding RNA, 582 nt
Organism: Rosa chinensis
Lineage: Eukaryota; Viridiplantae; Streptophyta; Magnoliopsida; Rosales; Rosaceae
Exons: 3
Source: RefSeq, a predicted model, not a curated record